This is a long non-coding RNA of Microplitis mediator, 2828 nucleotides long. RefSeq lists it as uncharacterized. The transcript is spliced from 3 exons. Lineage: Eukaryota; Metazoa; Arthropoda; Insecta; Hymenoptera; Braconidae. The record is from RefSeq and is a predicted model, not a curated record.
UUUCUAAUAAAAUUACCCAUGACUUCUGAAACUUAAGAACGUCAGUAGACGUAUUAAACUGAAAAGUUAACAAAACUGUGUCCAUAUUUACAUGGAGAUGUUCGUUUUUCAUCCCCACAUUUGUGUGCUAUCUCCUGGAGUACAUUGAACUUGUCAUUGAGUCAUUUAGCGUUUUGUGGGAACACGAACCAGACAAGACGACGACAAAGAUGAUGGCUGACAAGGAAUAAAAUAAAAGUAUAUAAUAAUGUUUAUGUUAAGUAUUCAUUAAUUUACGACGUAGUUCUUGGGAAUGAUGUGGGUCGGGUUAAAGUAGAGCGUGUUACUGGUUGACAAGGACAAAGAAAUCUCUGUAAGAUCGAGGGAGAAUCUCUAUAAGGAGCGUCCGUGACAGCGACAUGGCUAGCAGAGGCAACGUGACUCAUUAUAAUCGGAUGAUGGAGAAGACAAAAAAAUUUUUUAAGUACAUGUUCUAAUAUUAGCAUGUGGACAAUUUAAAGUCAAUUGUGUCGCAUGCAUGUACUUUGGCCACGCGUAUCUAUACAUAGAUUACUCCCAUACGUGAGUGAUACCAGAAAUGUGGAGAAGAGAACUAAAAAAGACGGCUCACCUCUUAAAAAUAUAAGUUCCUUGUUUGUUAUUAUUAUUUUAUAUUUUUUUCAAUACUUCGUAUUACGUCAAAUGAGCAUUCGGAAAAGCUACUGAGCUUAAAAAACCGUCUGGUCCAAUAAAUGAUUGUCUUGUCUUGCUGUAUGUUUUUCUAAAAAUACUAUUUUAGUGUCUUGUUUAGAUAAUUUUGUUUUAGUUCAAGUUUUCCCAUUUCUUUUUAAACAUUAAUGAUAAUGAUUGAAUCAUUUUACACGAUUGCUAACACUCGCCGCAACACCAACUGUACUAUCGGAUCGCGCACGCUCCAAAACGAUCGCUUGACAUCAUCAUACUCUUACACACAACCUCCACAACGACAACGACGACCACGGCGAUCACCAACUAUGGUAGUAACUGGAAGUGGAAAAGAGUGAGACAAUAUGAUAAAUAAUAAAAGAGUAACGAGUUAAUACUCUCUUUAAAGAUAUGUAUAUGUAUUACAGAGUGGCGCUAUCUUGAGGAUACCUCACAACUUUUUUUUAUGAUAAGCUAUCGAUGCAUUUGUUUUGUUACUCAACAGUCUGAGUCAACCAACAGUCAGAACAGAUAUUUCACGUGUGUGUGAAAUCAAAAAUUAAGAUGAUACUGAAGAUAGUAGAGGUCUUAUAAUUUUUGAAUUUUUUUAAAAACUUUUUUAAUUUUCUACAUGUGCGUAUUUUUUUUUUUUUUUUUUUUUUUUUGUAAUUAAUUUAUAGAAAAAAAAUGCAAACUUUUAAUUGUCUGCUAACCAGAAUCAUAAAUUAAGCGCCAAUUUUUCAAACGGAGUUUAUUUUUAUCCGGGUUUAAAUUGAUAUAUCUAGUAUAUUUAUAUAUUAAUAAUAUAUAUAAUAAAUAUAUCAGCAAUAAUUAUUUAUACCCGGGUAAAAAAAUAAACCCGAGAAAAAUUGACUGAUGAGAACUCUCUGGAUGAUCAAUUUUUAAACUUGAAAUUGUAAUGAAACAUUUGACAUCUCGAUGACGUUUAGUAUACGUGAAAAAUUUUUUGCUCUCCCCACGUAAAAUUACAUAUAAACUUGAUGUAAAAUAACAGCUUUAAUUUUACCUCAAAUUCCUGUUAUUUUACGUGGGGAGAGCGAAAAGUUUGAAUGGAAUUUUUGACGUUUACUAGACGUCAUCGAGAUGUCAAAAGUUUUAUUUCAAUUUCUGAGCUGAAACUCUGGUAUCCUGAUACUUUUAAUUAAUAAUUUAAAAAACAAAAAAUUAUUUGAAAAAUUAAAAAAUUCAAAUUUAAAAAUAAGAAUUUUUGAAAUUGUUUAGAAUUACAUUUUAAAAAAAUGUAAUUAUAAUUUAAUUACUCAUUACCAUAAUCGGAUUAAUCAGUGAUAAAGUGGCGCUAUCUCUUGCAUAACUUCGCGACUUACUUAAGCUGAUAUACAUAAAUAAAAAAAGUAAAAAGUAAAAUUAAAUGGAGACUGAAGCCAGCGGUGGUGGGAACGAGUGAUAAAAAGUCACGUGUUAUGUAUCCGAAUUCAUGUUCAAGGGCAUCAACCUCGAGUUAUUUUAUUGUUGGGCAAAAGACACCACUUACACGCAUAACACAUGCAAUAUAUAUCAAUAUACAUAUAUAUCUGAGAGAUGAGCACGAGACGGUUACAGACAAGUUGUGAGCAUCUGAUGAAAGUGAAAAAGGAAAUGCAUGAAAAAUAAAAUAAAAAUAAAUAUGGAGAUAAAAGAGAGAAAAAUGUAUUUUUACAUUUGUGAUUUGUCUAACUGAUGCCGUACAGAGGAUUUAUUUAUAGAAAGACAUACAAGCAGACCCCUAAUGACUGUCAGAUGCCAAAUCAACGACAUAAAGAAACUCUUUAUAGUCUGGAUGCAUAAAAAAAAUAAACAAUUAAAUAAUAGAUGGAAAUUUUUCAAAAAUAAAUUAAGUGUCACAAAUUACAACCUGGAGAUUUGAUCGCGAAACCUAGAAGUUGAUAAAAAUGAUGAAUUAAAUAAAUAAUAUUUUUUUUUUUUCACAAAUAUUACCAUGGGUGAUUUUGAAGGUGGAGAAUUAUUCAAAGUCGCUGUAAUUUCACGUAAAAUAACUCUUGUUCCUUCACGAAUUCCUUUAGGACUUGCUUGUAUUUUAGUAGGACUUGACAUUUUCAAGUUAAAUAAAUUAUGUAUACAAAAUAUUGCAUUAAAACCAGAGUAUAUGGAGUCAGUACGCCGAAAAUUUUUUUUUUACACACUAA